CGGCGGACGGGUGAGUAACACGUGGAUAACCUACCUAUAAGACUGGGAUAACUUCGGGAAACCGGAGCUAAUACCGGAUAAUAUAUUGAACCGCAUGGUUCAAUAGUGAAAGACGGUUUUGCUGUCACUUAUAGGUGGAUCCGCGCCGCAUUAGCUAGUUGGUAAGGUAACGGCUUACCAAGGCAACGAUGCGUAGCCGACCUGAGAGGGUGAUCGGCCACACUGGAACUGAGACACGGUCCAGACUCCUACGGGAGGCAGCAGCG
Molecule: ribosomal RNA, 266 nt
Filed under: uncultured Staphylococcus sp.
Lineage: Bacteria; Bacillati; Bacillota; Bacilli; Caryophanales; Staphylococcaceae
Description: partial 16S ribosomal RNA
Rfam family: Bacterial small subunit ribosomal RNA
Source: RNAcentral